GACGAACGCUGGCGGCGUGCCUAACACAUGCAAGUCGAACGGAGAUAUAAUUUCGGUUAUAUCUUAGUGGCGAACGGGUGAGUAACGCGUGAGCAACCUGACCUUCAGAGGGGGAUAACACUUGGAAACAGGUGCUAAUACCGCAUAAGGCCACGACCCGACAUCGGGAUGAGGUCAAAGGAGCAAUCCGCUGAGGGAGGGGCUCGCGUCCCAUUAGAUAGAUGGCGGGGUAACGGCCCACCAUGUCGACGAUGGGUAGCCGAGCUGAGAGGCUGAUCGGCCACACUGGAACUGAGACACGGUCCAGACUCCUACGGGAGGCAGCAGUGGGGAAUAUUGGGCAAUGGGCGCAAGCCUGACCCAGCAACGCCGCGUGAGGGAAGAAGGCCUUCGGGUUGUAAACCUCUGUCCUUGGUGACGAAACAAAUGACGGUAGCCAAGGAGGAAGCCCCGGCUAACUACGUGCCAGCAGCCGCAGUAA
Molecule: ribosomal RNA, 481 nt
Filed under: uncultured bacterium
Lineage: Bacteria
Description: partial 16S ribosomal RNA
Rfam family: Bacterial small subunit ribosomal RNA
Source: RNAcentral